RNAcentral lists this ribosomal RNA (433 nucleotides) under uncultured bacterium. Its description in RNAcentral is "partial 16S ribosomal RNA". It matches the Rfam family "Bacterial small subunit ribosomal RNA", at positions 29 to 507 of the family's 1533-position model. The record is from RNAcentral.
AACGAACGCUGGCGGCAUGCCUAACACAUGCAAGUCGAACGAGACCAUCGGGUCUAGUGGCGCACGGGUGCGUAACGCGUGGGAACCUGCCCUUAGGUUCGGAAUAACUCCCCGAAAGGGGUGCUAAUACCGGAUAAUGUCUUCGGACCAAAGAUUUAUCGCAUUUGGAUGGGCCCGCGUUGGAUUAGCUAGUUGGUAGGGUAAAAGCCUACCAAGGCGACGAUCCAUAGCUGGUCUGAGAGGAUGAUCAGCCACACUGGGACUGAGACACGGCCCAGACUCCUACGGGAGGCAGCAGUGGGGAAUAUUGGACAAUGGGCGAAAGCCUGAUCCAGCAAUGCCGCGUGAGUGAUGAAGGCCUUAGGGUUGUAAAGCUCUUUUACCCGGGAUGAUAAUGACAGUACCGGGAGAAUAAGCUCCGGCUAACUCCGUG